This 253-nucleotide ribosomal RNA is filed under the name uncultured bacterium. Its description in RNAcentral is "partial 16S ribosomal RNA". It matches the Rfam family "Bacterial small subunit ribosomal RNA", at positions 524 to 776 of the family's 1533-position model. The record is from RNAcentral.
UACGGAGGGUGCAAGCGUUACUCGGAAUCACUGGGCGUAAAGGGCGCGUAGGCGGCCUAGCAAGUCUGGUGUGAAAGCCCAGGGCUCAACCCUGGAAGGGCACUGGAAACUGUUAGACUUGAGUUCCGGAGAGGAGGGGGGAAUUCCCGGUGUAGCGGUGAAAUGCGUAGAUAUCGGGAGGAAUACCGGUGGCGAAGGCGCCCCUCGGGACGGAAAUUGACGCUGAGGCGCGAAAGCGUGGGGAGCAAACAGG